AUGGAGCUGCUAGGAAUACUCUUUAGGGGACUGACAUUUCAUCUGAAUAUGAAGAAGAGAGAAAGAGAGAAAGAGAGAGACAGAGAGAGGGAAAGAAAGAGAAAGAGAAAGAAAAAGAGAAAAAGAAAGAAAGAAAGAAAGAAAGAAAGAAAGAAAGAAAGAAAGAAAGAAAGAAAGAAAGAAAGAAAGAAAGAAAGAAAGAAAGAAAGAAAGAAAGAAAAAGAAAGAAAGAGAAAGAAAGAAAGAAAGAAAGAAAAGAAGAAGAAGAAGGAAGGAAGGAAGGAAGGAAGGAAGGAAGGAAAGGAAGGAAGGAAGGUAAAAAGGUAAAAAGAAGGUGAGAUAUCUCUGGGGUGAACUUUUUGAGGAGAGUGGUACAGGGCACAGGUUGGAGGAAACUUCAGCCCUCCUGGUUUGUUGUUAGAAAACAGGAAGAUUAAUGUUUUUUACUUUUUAUUUAAAAUCUAUUGGCUGAUCUUGAGUUGGGCAGAGUAGGUUUUAAGUGGGUUUAUUUGUUGGAAUGGCAUAUUUUAGGGUGUUUAAAUGCUUUUUGCAAUUCUUCUCAGCAUAGUUUAGUGCUGAGGUAAUUGCAGGCACAGAUAUCUUAGCCAUCUGUGAUGGUUACUGUUUUUGACCCAAGUCUUCUUUCUAUGGGGUCCAGUGGUGGUCAAGGCCUUAUCAGGUAACAGUACAGGAAUAUCUAAAAAUCAAGCAAAUCAGAAACAGAAAUACUUCUGGAAACUUAGGCCUAGAUACUUGACUUAUCCUUCUGAAUCCUUGGUGGCAAGCUUGAAGACCUUUAAAAUAGUAAUAACAGAAAAAAAAAAAAAAGAAACUCGGAGGACUAACAGACUAAUAUUACUUUGCAGUUGUUUUGCGUAACUAUUUUGUUGCACUCGCCUGACUUCUCAGGUGAGAAUAACUUUGAAUAUUAGUCAGAGUUUUAGCCAGAAAAGCCAUUGCUCAUGUUAAUUGUGCUGGCCAAGGAAAAGCAGUUCUUUCAGAGUAAAACUCAGGGUACUCUGUAGAAUGAUUGGGUCUGUCAACACAUGACAAGGUCUUCAUAUCUUGAGGGGAGGAUCCAGUUGAUGCAUCAAAGUGUCAAUCAGGAUGCAGAGCUGCAGGAAGUUAACUCAUGCGUAUUCCAGGGUUGUCCGGAUCAGAUGAAGAAAGUGCCAAAAGAGGUUACCCUUCAUCACCAGCAGAGAGAUGAGCUAUGUUUGAAAGACAGGACAGCUUGAUGGGCUUUGAAUGGUAAUAUCAGGAGAUGUGUCCCUCAAGAGAUAGAGACAUGCUUCAUGUCCUUGUACAGUCAUUUGAGCAACUUGACAUGAAAAUACUAAAUAAAACAUACAGAAGCCCCA
RNAcentral lists this long non-coding RNA (1361 nucleotides) under Anser brachyrhynchus (Pink-footed goose). RNAcentral's name for it is "lncRNA (ENSABRG00000011920.1)". Lineage: Eukaryota; Metazoa; Chordata; Aves; Anseriformes; Anatidae. The record is from RNAcentral.